GGUGGGCCCGCGACCUAUCAGCUUGUCGGUGGGGUAACGGCCUACCGAGGCUCUGACGGGUAGCUGGUCUGAGAGGACGACCAGCCACACGGGGACUGAGACACGGCCCCGACUCCUACGGGAGGCAGCAGUAAGGAAUCUUCCGCAAUGGGCGAAAGCCUGACGGAGCGACGCCGCGUGUGGGAUGAAGUCUCUCGGGAUGUAAACCACUGUCGGAGGGGAAGAGAAUGGACGGUACCCUCCAAGAAAGCCCCGGCUAACUACGUGCCAGCAGCCGCGGUAAUACGUAGGGGGCAAGCGUUACUCGGAUUCACUGGGCGUAAAGCGCGUGUAGGCGGCUGGUCAAGCGUGAUGUGAAAUCUCCGGGCUUAACCCGGAAACUGCAUCGCGAACUGGCCUGGCUGGAGUGCAGGAGAGGGAUGUGGAAUUCCCGGUGUAGCGGUGAAAUGCGUAGAUAUCGGGAGG
Molecule: ribosomal RNA, 465 nt
Filed under: uncultured Thermomicrobia bacterium
Lineage: Bacteria; Pseudomonadati; Thermomicrobiota; Thermomicrobia
Description: bacterial SSU rRNA
Rfam family: Bacterial small subunit ribosomal RNA
Source: RNAcentral